UUUUUAGGUGAUGUAUGUUUCUCAAAGUGUGAAGAUGCUAAGUGCUUUACCAUGUGUACAGAGUGUCCGAUGGAAUGGGAAUUUAACGCUGAUUUUAUGAGCUGCUAUUACUUGGCUCAAGACACACAUACUGACUAUCUAUCAGCAAACAGUACUUGCCAUACACUUGGCGGACAUAUUGCGACCAUUUCCAGUGUGAAGGAAACAUCUUGGAUACAAACGAAGUUGAAUGCAGACUUACUAA
Molecule: long non-coding RNA, 244 nt
Organism: Anneissia japonica
Lineage: Eukaryota; Metazoa; Echinodermata; Crinoidea; Comatulida; Comatulidae
Exons: 3
Source: RefSeq, a predicted model, not a curated record